This is a long non-coding RNA of Chinchilla lanigera (long-tailed chinchilla), 1028 nucleotides long. RefSeq lists it as uncharacterized. NCBI's taxonomy places the organism in Eukaryota, Metazoa, Chordata, Mammalia, Rodentia, Chinchillidae. The record is from RefSeq and is a predicted model, not a curated record. The transcript is spliced from 2 exons.
UCCAUCUCACAGUGACUGAUUUGUGGGUCGGACAUGGCAGGGGUUGAAAUUCUGGGUUUGCAAGUGGCCAAGGGGCCUGCCCUUCCCGAACCUUAGGCUUCAGUUCUAGGGUGCACAGGAGGAAGCAGGUAUCAGUGAUCUCUGUGUGAGAGCGUUGUGCUCUUAAAUGAUUAAUGAUUUCCUUGAGCGUUUCGUUGUAAAGAAGAUAUGGACUUACAGUUCAGCAUGAAUGAGUUGAGUUCUUGGAAUUGUCCAGUGCCAGUCUCACUGAAGCUGCUCUCUGGCUGCUCAAACCUCACAGCAGGCACCUGCUUUUUCCAUCCUUUUUUUUUUUUCCAUCCAUUUUUGUAGGUGUUCUAGGGGACUUCCAUUUUCAGGCUGUAAGGAUUUAUACACAGGAAACGAAGGUGCUCAACAGCUUCUACGUGUGUGAAGUCACUGUGCAGCCCUCUGGUGGAUUCAAGGAAGUGUCCAGUGAGGACUUGGAGCCUAGUGAAGAUCUAGACCAGCCCUCUUUUGAGGAGACAGGAGAAGACAUCCUGAGUGAAGAGAGCAGUGAGGUUUUGGAUGUGAUCUCCAGCGAGGAGCUGGAUCUCUUUAGUGAUGAGGAGCUGAGUGAAGGCUGUAGCUGGGGCCAAGGCGAGCUUCUCAGUGAGGAGCUGGGCCCCAUAUCUAGUGAGGAGGAAGCCAGCCCCUGGGAUGCAGAGGACGAGCUCAGCGAGGAGUACGCGUCACUGCGGAGUGAGGAGGAGCUUUGUGAGGAGGAGCUCUGCGGGCUGGAGCCAGAGGUGCUGCUGGUUCAAGAAUAAAUUGUAUGCUAGGUGUGGUGGCGCUCACCUGUAAUCCCAGCACUUGGGAGGCUGAGGCAGGAGGAUCACUGUGAAUUCAAGGCCAACCUGAACUACUUAGUGAGACCCUGUCUCAAAAAAACUGGAACAAAGAAAAAUCAUAAAUUGUAAAAGGAUUGUCCCAGGCCUCUGUUUUAUAAGGAGAUUUAAUUCAUUUAUAAAGUUUGUCUAGAAAAAAAA